CAAUAGCGUAUAUUAAAGUUGUUGCAGUUAAAAAGCUCGUAGUUGGAUUUGUGGGGUACUUCGGCGGCCCGUCACUAUGUGAUGGAGCUUGCUGAAGUCGCCAUCCUUGGGUGGAUCCUGUGUGGCAUUAAGUUGUCGUGCAGGGGAUGCCCAUCGUUUACUGUGAAAAAAUUAGAGUGUUCAAAGCAGGCUUAUGCCGUUGAAUAUAUUAGCAUGGAAUAAUAAGAUAGGACCUUGGUACUAUUUUGUUGGUUUGCGCACCAAGGUAAUGAUUAAUAGGGACGGUUGGGGGUAUUCGUAUUUCAUUGUCAGAGGUGAAAUUCUUGGAUUUUUGAAAGACGAACUACUGCGAAAGCAUUUACCAAGGAUGUUUUCAUUAA
RNAcentral lists this ribosomal RNA (380 nucleotides) under uncultured eukaryote. RNAcentral's name for it is "partial 18S ribosomal RNA". It matches the Rfam family "Eukaryotic small subunit ribosomal RNA", at positions 592 to 976 of the family's 1831-position model. The record is from RNAcentral.